ACCUAUUCGGAUAUCCCUUCUUUCUGAACUGGGCCUUCAGCGUCAUUGCUUUCUGCUUGAAUUCAUCCAAAGUAGAACAAUUGCGUCAAAGGCGCAAAUAUUGUCCCACUGGGAUACCUUUUUGAGGGCGGGGGGAUGAUAACUAUCCCAAUUCAGAAGACUGUUGGUAGAAGUGGAUUUCCAAAAUAGUGUGGUUAAUAGGUGUCCUCCAGUGUCAAUUGUAAUUGUGAUGUCAAGGAAAUUGAUCUUUUUUCCACCUAUUUCAGAGGUGAAUCUUAGAUUGAAGUUGUUAUGGUUAAGUGUGUCCACAAAUUUAUUAAAUAUAGCCACGGUUCCGUCCAGACUAUCAGGAUAUCAUCAAUAUAUUUUUUCCAAAGCAUGACAUGUUGAGUAUAUUCUUCAAGUCUGGUAUCGAACACCAUGGUCUGUUCUGUCAGGAUUACAAAUUAAUCCAGCACGCAGUACUGUGUCACACCUAGGACUAAGGGUAACAUAUAACCGGACCUUAGAAUGGCCGGACUUAACAUCUCCAAGGAUAGUCAAAAUACUAGCCAAGGUCAGGGACACAGACUCAGACACAAAGAUGAGGGAAAGCUAAAAGUCAAGGAUACCAGAUAUCAGGGAAGUCAAAACAAAGUCAUAUACCAGAAAAUCAAGAUCAGGAACGCACUCUCGGAUAACCAUAUACAUGAAACCACGACAGG
Pelobates cultripes (western spadefoot toad) is the source of this 704-nucleotide non-coding RNA. Lineage: Eukaryota; Metazoa; Chordata; Amphibia; Anura; Pelobatidae. The record is from the annotation of a GenBank genome assembly.